This 1183-nucleotide long non-coding RNA is filed under the name Piliocolobus tephrosceles (Ugandan red Colobus). Its description in RNAcentral is "lncRNA (ENSPTEG00000003132.1)". Lineage: Eukaryota; Metazoa; Chordata; Mammalia; Primates; Cercopithecidae. The record is from RNAcentral.
CAGGAGUUUGAGACCAGCCUGGGCAACAUAGCCAGACCCUAUCUCUACCAAAAAUUAACCAGGCGUGGUGGGACGCACCUAUGGUCCCAGCUACUGGGGAGGCUGAGGCAGCAGAAUCACUUGAACCUGGGAGGCGGAGGUUGCAGUGAGCUGAGAUUGCGCCACUGCACUCCAGCCUGGGCAACAAUAGUGAAACUCCAUCUCAGGAAAAAAAAAAAAAAAAAAAAAAAAAAAAAAAAAGCUUCAGGCACCACAAAACCUGGAUCUGCCUCUGAUUGUGGUAGAAAAAUAUUGGAAGGACUACCCAACAAUUGGAGAACAGCCAAACAAAUGAUACAUGUAUGCUGUGGCAUGGGUAUGACUUUGCUUUUAUAAAAGGGUGGAAACCAGACGGAUGUGGCGGCUUGCUCUUGUCAUCCCAGCCCUUUAGGAGGCUGAGAUGGGAGGAUUGCUUGAGGCCGGGAGUGAGACCAGCCUGGGCAUCAUAGCAAGACCCAAUCUCUUAAAAAAAAAAAUUAGCUGGGCAUAAUGGCAUGUGCCCAUAGUUCCAGCUACUCAGGAGGCUGAGGUGGAAGGAUCUCUCUCUCUCUUUUUUUUUUUUUUUUUUGAGAAGAAGUCUUACUCUGUUGCCCAGGCUGGAGUGCAGUGGCACGAUCUUGGCUCAUUGCAAGCUCCGCCUCCCGGGUUCAUGCCAUUCUUCUGCCUCAGCCUCCCGAGUAACUGAGACUACAGGUGCCCACCACCACGCCCGGCUAAUUUUUUGUAUUUUUAGUAGAGACGGGGUUUCACCGUGUUAGCCAGGUUGGUCUCGAUCUCCUGACCUUGUGAUCCACCUGCCUCAGCCUCCCAAAGUGCUGGGUUUACAGGUGUGAGCCACCGCACCCAUGAAGAGCAUGAUGGAGUCGUGUCCUGAUUUCAGAAUCGCCCUGUUACAUACUGGCUGUGUGAUGUUGUGCAGGUUACUCAACCUCUCUGUGCCUCAGUGUCGUGUCUAAAACAGACAUAACAAUAGUGCUUAUCUUGCUGUGGGUUAUAAGUGAGUCUGCACGUGAAAAUGAGGCCCUGGCACAGGGGAAGCUCUAGGUGAGCAUUUGCUUUUAUAACAAUGUUAGGGUGGGGGAAGAUGAUUUUAAAAAGAUGCGGAAACUUGCAAUUUGUGCCAGAGGCUCCUCACAAAUGCUCC